GCAAUUAUUUGAAGUUAAAAAUGGUUGGAAGUUUGAACUUUGAAGAUUUGCUAUUUCCCGUUGCUUAUAAUAAUAAUGCUGGAUAAUAACCCACCAUCAACGACAACAGAUUCAGAACCUGAUGACUUAGCAACCACGAUGCAUUGUUCGCUGUAAUAAAGAUUAAAGACACUGAAAAUAAAGCCAUCUAUGAUCCAGAAAAGCUGAAAAUUUGUCAAAAUUACUGUUUCUGGAAAGAACAAUCCUUCAAGAUCAAAUCUUCCAUCUCGCCGAUCCUGAGAAUCCUCGUUCUAACUGAGAGCAUGAUAAAGUCCCCAACCCUCCUCCUUAUUCCUCUCCUCCUCUCUCUUUCGAGCCGGGUAGUAGCCGGGUUAGAAUGUGCAGAAUGUUCAGAGUAUAAAACUAAAGGGUAUACUCAGUACACGGCCGGGGUUAAGAACAGUGCUGGGAGGCUUCUUCCAUAUUGCUCCCAGGCAGAGGAGUUUGGAAGAGUGAAGUGUGAAGACAGUGAGACGUAUUGUGUUGAUUUUAGAGUUACCACUGUGUACAACAAGAAGGCUAAACUGCGCUACAAGGAGGAAUACCGCUUCAAAGGGUGCUCCAAUAUUACUGUCACGUGUGACCCACUCAGAGAAAAAGCCCGUCAAGAAAUAGCGGAUGAAGACAGCAUAAUUGUGGAGAUAACUUGUGAAGCGCUGUCUCGCUGUCAGGAUGAUUAUUGUAACGGCGGACUCACGGGAACAGUUUCAGCUGUGUUAGUCAGUUUUGUAGUGUUUCUAACGGUUCUAGCACCUUAGAGUGAUGGGCUUAUUUGUUUUUCAUUUCAGUUUGAAAUAUUGUGCGAGCAUGUUUGUCAGACAUUUUUCAGAAACUUCACGCUCGAGCACAGUUGACGAUUGAAUUAAACCGGAUUUUUGAGUUACAUAAAGCCGUUCAUUUGAGGUCUAAAAUGAUGUGAUAUCUCAUGUAAAUUCUUAAAUUUCAUUUAAUUUAAGUUUUCAGUAUUUAAAAUAACAAAUUAUUAUCUCACCUGGAUUUAAGGUACUCG
Bolinopsis microptera is the source of this 1048-nucleotide long non-coding RNA. RefSeq lists it as uncharacterized. The record is from RefSeq and is a predicted model, not a curated record. Lineage: Eukaryota; Metazoa; Ctenophora; Tentaculata; Lobata; Bolinopsidae. The transcript has 3 exons.